This 403-nucleotide ribosomal RNA is filed under the name uncultured Rhodococcus sp. Its description in RNAcentral is "bacterial SSU rRNA". It matches the Rfam family "Bacterial small subunit ribosomal RNA", at positions 992 to 1393 of the family's 1533-position model. Lineage: Bacteria; Bacillati; Actinomycetota; Actinomycetes; Mycobacteriales; Nocardiaceae. The record is from RNAcentral.
GCUCAGGUCGCUGAGAGAUGUGGCCCCCCUUGUGGUUUCUAUACAGGUGGUGCAUGGCUGUCGUCAGCUCGUGUCGUGAGAUGUUGGGUUAAGUCCCGCAACGAGCGCAACCCUUAUCUUAUGUUGCCAGCACGUUAUGGUGGGGACUCGUAAGAGACUGCCGGGGUCAACUCGGAGGAAGGUGGGGAUGACGUCAAGUCAUCAUGCCCCUUAUGUCCAGGGCUUCACACAUGCUACAAUGGCCGGUACAGAGGGCUGCGAGACCGUGAGGUGGAGCGAAUCCCUUAAAGCUGGUCUCAGUUCGGAUCGGGGUCUGCAACUCGACCCCGUGAAGUCGGAGUCGCUAGUAAUCGCAGAUCAGCAACGCUGCGGUGAAUACGUUCCCGGGCCUGUACCACACCGA